ACAUUUGUCAGUCUUUGGCCCUGUGAUGGUAUUUGGGUCACUCAAUUUGCUCUCUGCUGGAUCUGUUAAUGGAAGUCCUGCUAUGUCCUAUUUCUGCGAGCUAUAAACUUUGACAACUUUCUGAAAGCUUGUAUAGUAAAGGGUAGGGUUUAGAUGAACUCAUCUUAAAGGCUUAUCUUGUACUGGAAGGUUCCAGAGUUUCGUCGAAGCAGCUAUUUCACUCAGGAGAACUAAUGAUACUGUGGACACCCUGCUAUGACCAAAAAGCCUUCAUUGAAAUGGGGAAUAUUCUUGAAGUCUGAAAAGAUGGAUUCUCUGAUGCAGGUGGCUUCCUGUGAUAAAAAUGAAGAGGUGAUCUAAACCCCAGCCAGAGAUCUUGAUCUAGGCCAUUAUACAU
This is a long non-coding RNA of Harpia harpyja (harpy eagle), 397 nucleotides long. RefSeq lists it as uncharacterized. The record is from RefSeq and is a predicted model, not a curated record. The transcript is spliced from 3 exons. Lineage: Eukaryota; Metazoa; Chordata; Aves; Accipitriformes; Accipitridae.